Molecule: transfer RNA, 63 nt
Filed under: Didymobothrium rudolphii
Lineage: Eukaryota; Metazoa; Platyhelminthes; Cestoda; Spathebothriidea; Acrobothriidae
Description: tRNA-Asp
Source: RNAcentral
AUGUGUUUAGUUUAUAAAAAUAGUGAUUUGUCUAAUCACAGAUGGUAGGUACACCAGCAUAUU